RNAcentral lists this long non-coding RNA (251 nucleotides) under Serinus canaria (Common canary). RNAcentral's name for it is "lncRNA (ENSSCAG00000005384.1)". The record is from RNAcentral. Lineage: Eukaryota; Metazoa; Chordata; Aves; Passeriformes; Fringillidae.
GGAAGCUUCCCCUUUGAGUUGGAAAACAUGGAUACACAGUCCUAUGUUUUGACAACUCAAAAAUAAUUAAUUUAGAACCAGCAUUAAGAGACUUACUGUGUGGAUGUACAGGUGCUGAAUUCUUUGCAUUACUGCCCAUCUGACAACAUUAAAAAAUAUUACAAUCACAGAUUUGGCUAAUUAAGAGCAGUCCAGUGUCCCCAUUAAGGGUAAGUGAUUUGGCAGCUUGCAUUUCCAUUUCUGCCAUGUUG